This 464-nucleotide ribosomal RNA is filed under the name uncultured bacterium. Its description in RNAcentral is "partial 16S ribosomal RNA". It matches the Rfam family "Bacterial small subunit ribosomal RNA", at positions 338 to 795 of the family's 1533-position model. The record is from RNAcentral.
CCUACGGGAGGCAGCAGUGGGGAAUUUUGCGCAAUGCUCGUAAGAGUGACGCAGCGACGCCGCGUGAAUGACGAAGGCCUUCGGGUCGUAAAGUUCUUUCGACAGGGAAGAAAAUGCCUAUAAGUAACUGUGUAUGUAUUGACGGUACCUGUAUAAGCAGCCCCGGCUAACUCCGUGCCAGCAGCCGCGGUAAUACGGGGGGGGCGAGCGUUGUUCGGGGUGACUGGGCGUAAGGAGAACGUAGGCGGUGUUGUAAGUCAUUAGUAAAGACUAGAGCUCAACUUUAGUAAAGCUAGGGAUACUAUAAUACGAGAGGAUCAGAGAGGAUUGCAGAAUUGCUGGGGUAGCGGUGAAAGGCGGAGAUAUCAGGAGGAAUACAGUGAGCGAAGGCGGCAAUCUGGCUGGAAACUGACGCUGAGGUGCGAAAGCGUGGGUAGCAAACAGGAUUAGAUACCCGGGUAGUC